Molecule: ribosomal RNA, 466 nt
Filed under: uncultured bacterium
Lineage: Bacteria
Description: partial 16S ribosomal RNA
Rfam family: Bacterial small subunit ribosomal RNA
Source: RNAcentral
GACGAACGCUGGCGGCGUGCUUAACACAUGCAAGUCGAACGGAAAGGCCUCUUUCGGGGGGUACUCUAGAGGCGCACGGGUGAGUAACACGUGAGUAUCAUGCGCUUGACAUUGUGGUAACUCCUGGAAACAGUGGGUCUUACCGGGUAUAAGCUCCUGCGGCAUGGUGGGGGGUGGGAAGAUUCGGCGGUUGGGGAUGGACUCGCGGCUUAUCAGCUUGUUGGUGGGGUAGUGGCUUACCAAGGCUUUGACGGGUAGCCGGCCUGAGAGGGUGACCGGCCACAUUGGGACUGAGAUACGGCCCAGACUCCUACGGGAGGCAGCAGUGGGGAAUAUUGCACAAUGGGUGGAAGCCUGAUGCAGCAACGCCGUGUGCGGGAUGACGGCCUUCGGGUUGUAAACCGCUUUCGCUCAUGACGAAGCUUUGUGUGACGGUAGUGGGUAAAGAAGCACCGGCUAACUACGU